RNAcentral lists this ribosomal RNA (316 nucleotides) under uncultured bacterium. RNAcentral describes it as "bacterial SSU rRNA". It matches the Rfam family "Bacterial small subunit ribosomal RNA", at positions 30 to 334 of the family's 1533-position model. The record is from RNAcentral.
AUUGAACGCUAGCGGGAUGCCUUACACAUGCAAGUCGAGCGAAGCGCUUUGAAUUUUUCGGAAUGAGAAGUGACUGAGCGGCGGACGGGUGAGUAACGCGUGGGUAACCUGCCUCAUACAGGGGGAUAACAGUUAGAAAUGACUGCUAAUACCGCAUAAGCGCACGUCAUCGCAUGAUGGUGUGUGAAAAACUCCGGUGGUAUGAGAUGGACCCGCGUCUGAUUAGGUAGUUGGUGGGGUAACGGCCCACCAAGCCGACGAUCAGUAGCCGACCUGAGAGGGUGACCGGCCACAUUGGGACUGAGACACGGCCCAA